This 480-nucleotide long non-coding RNA is filed under the name Hordeum vulgare. RNAcentral's name for it is "long non-coding RNA (HVUL_LNC014687)". The record is from RNAcentral. Lineage: Eukaryota; Viridiplantae; Streptophyta; Magnoliopsida; Poales; Poaceae.
UGGCUAUGUUCAACCAGUAAAACUGAAUUAGGGAUGGUAUUUGUACCUGUUGGAACGAAGAAGGAGAAGCAUGACAAACAUCUGAAACUGAAUUAGGGAUUUCCAUUUGCUUCUUCCUUUUCGAGACCAGAUCGCAUUGUUCCCGUGACCAGAUAUCUGGCACUUACCUCAGUAAUAAUAUCAGGAACUGAAAAACAAAGGGAGAGAUAUCAGUACUAACUCAAACUGCACAUAAUUCAUAAUUCAGUUAAAUAAAGGUGCAGCACACAAGGUUUUGUUCACUCACAAUCACACAAUUCGCACAGAAUUCAUACAAACAACUGACUGAAUGGCACUCUCACUGAACGAGGCAUUAUCAAACACAAUCAUAACUAAGCACAGAACCAACUCACCUGCAUCUAUCUCUCUGAACCACCAAAGCCUUCCAAAAUCCCACACCAAUUCCACCAUUUUGCCCGAUGCCCCGCAGCAGCCACCGCC